UACGGCCACAUCAUUUUGAAACACCGGUUCCCGUACUAUCACCGAAGUUAAGAAACGUUGCGCCUGAUCAGUACCUAAAUGGGUGACUAUUUCGGAAUACCAAAUGCUGUAA
This is a non-coding RNA of Acanthosepion pharaonis, 112 nucleotides long. NCBI's taxonomy places the organism in Eukaryota, Metazoa, Mollusca, Cephalopoda, Sepiida, Sepiidae. The record is from the annotation of a GenBank genome assembly.